CCUGACGUAACGCCCUCUACAUUGUUUGGUCACCGGCACCGAUUCGUAAUCGAUAGGUCGGGGGUUCAAUUCCCUCCGUCGGCACCA
Molecule: transfer RNA, 87 nt
Filed under: Thioalkalivibrio halophilus
Lineage: Bacteria; Pseudomonadati; Pseudomonadota; Gammaproteobacteria; Chromatiales; Ectothiorhodospiraceae
Description: tRNA-Thr
Source: RNAcentral